AGAAGAAGAAGAAGAAGAAGAAAUUAAAUCAACAAAGAUAGGAGAGCACGAGACCGCACUCAACAUCAUCACCACCUCCUCUUAGUUAGGGGGCUUCACUACGAAUUGGCUUAACAUCACUCAACACCAGCGUUCCAAAAUCAAUCACACUAUAUCUUGAACCAUGCUUAUGAUUCAAAAUGGAAGAGUAAGAGAAUUGAAGGGACCCAGUAAUCAAUGAAUUGAACCACAUUUAUUUACCUUGAAAUGUUUCAUGAUGGAAAAUUGAACAGAUCCAAAAACCAAUAAUGGGUGUAAAAGAAGAAGAAAGACCACUGGAUUGGAUGAGAGUGAGACUCGGGCGACGCUAUGGAAAGGAUAAGAAGAGAGUGAAUGAAAUGACCCAAACAACCACAUGCCAUUUUGAAAGAGCUAGGUUCUGUAAGAAGGUUGAGACGCGAUUUGAGAGAUGGGUUCUAUAAACAUAUGAAGGAGCUGGGUUCUAUAAACAUAUGAAGGA
RNAcentral lists this unclassified non-coding RNA (499 nucleotides) under Hevea brasiliensis (rubber tree). Lineage: Eukaryota; Viridiplantae; Streptophyta; Magnoliopsida; Malpighiales; Euphorbiaceae. The record is from RNAcentral.